CACUCCCUGGCAUGUUCGCCAGUCGGCGAUGACCCUCUCCCGAUAAGCAACACCAUGGAGGCUACACGUAGUGCCGGUGUGCAUGUCCGCCUGACGGAAAGCCUUAAGGUACUCUGUAGUCGCCACCUUGAACUCUCGGGUUCAAGGGCCUACGCUGGCAGCGGCAUGCUGGGGAGCCU
Molecule: non-coding RNA, 179 nt
Rfam family: 6S / SsrS RNA
About the family: E. coli 6S RNA was the first non coding RNA to be sequenced, but its function was unknown until recently. It consists of 184 nucleotides that fold into an extended hairpin structure with a large single-stranded internal bulge.
Source: Rfam